This 20-nucleotide non-coding RNA is filed under the name Arabidopsis thaliana (thale cress). Lineage: Eukaryota; Viridiplantae; Streptophyta; Magnoliopsida; Brassicales; Brassicaceae. RNAcentral also lists the same sequence under 1 other name. The record is from RNAcentral.
GACCGCAUAGCGCAGUGGAU